Molecule: unclassified non-coding RNA, 405 nt
Filed under: fungal sp.
Lineage: Eukaryota; Fungi
Description: partial internal transcribed spacer region
Rfam family: Eukaryotic small subunit ribosomal RNA (bases 1-46)
Source: RNAcentral
AAGUCGUAACAAGGUUUCCGUAGGUGAACCUGCGGAAGGAUCAUUAACACGUAUCCAAACGUUAAACAACCCCGUGAACAUACAACCUGCUCUGGUCGCCCGCUCGCAUGGACAAGCCCAGUAAAUCAAGCCCCGGAAAGUUUUUGAUUUGGGACCUCUGUGCGCGUGAGAAAAACUGACAGCGAUUCAUAGAAGCGGUAGGUCAAGUGACACGGCGUCCCCAAGUGACCAGUGAAUGAAAGUGUCGCUGGAGCGUCAAGGACGACUCUUCAAGAUUGCUAGAGGUCGACCACCGACCGGCUUCCGUGUAUACCGAGCUAACACCGCUCCCUUCCGAACCCGUAAGCAUCCAUACGGAUGGGCAGGCCCCCCGAACAACUGUUAACAAUGGAUAUCUUGGUUCUC